AAGGCACCGGCUCCGACAUGGCGCGUUCGUUCGCGGGCUACGGCCAGCGCAUCUCGGGCCCGCAGGUCGGCGCUAUCGCGGUGAUGUGGCGUGGCCGCCGCGGCGGUCCUUUCGGGGACGUCAGCCGGAUCGACCCCAACGGCAAUNCGAUCGUGAUCUCGGGCAACCAUGGCCACCGCGUCGCCGAGGCCACCUAUUCGCGUGGGCGGGUCUACGCCUACGUCAUGCCGUCGAGUUGAGUUCUGUGAUGGUAUCGCCGGCGGCAAUCGUGCCGCCGGCGA
This 281-nucleotide unclassified non-coding RNA is filed under the name Hevea brasiliensis (rubber tree). Lineage: Eukaryota; Viridiplantae; Streptophyta; Magnoliopsida; Malpighiales; Euphorbiaceae. The record is from RNAcentral.